UUCCUUUGUUUUUAGUUUUUAGGGUUAUGUUUUUGAUUUUUGAUUGUGGUUCCAGAUUCCAGAGGUAGUUUGUGGUUUUUAAAAAAAAAUAUUUUCAGUUUAAUUUUCUGGGAUUAUUAAAGUAGUUUGGGGCUUACUAUCUAAUGUAUUAUAAGAUUUACUGUAUCAUAAAUUAACCAUUAAGCACCAAUGUUAAGGUAUAUUUUAUCAUUUUUGAGAAUAAUAGCUACAAAAAUGUUACAACUAUUAAGUUCGAGAAAACAUUUAAUAGAAAAUGUACUAAGGAUAUACAUAAAGACUACAAGUGGAAGUACUUUAUCUAUAGAAAUAGAUCCUAAAUAUGAUAUAAAACAAAUUAAAAAUUUAGUUGCUUCAAAAAUAGGAGCACAACCCGAAGAAUUAAAAAUUAUAUUUGCAGGGAAGGAGCUAGGAGAUAAUAUAAUUAUAGAAGAGUGUGAUUUAGGCCAACAAAGUAUUUUGCAUGCUGUAAAAAUUAAAAGGAAUGUACCUACAGACCAGAGCAGUUCUAAGAUGAAACCAUUAUGUGAAAUAUUAGAUGACGAAAUGUUUUCUUCCAAUAUUACCAAUAGUAGAAGUAAUUCUUUCUCUACAGAUAAUGAAGUUAUUAAUAUAUCAAACAGUGUGAUGCUUGAAAACAGUACAAUCAGAUCUAAAAAAAUUCAUUUCUAUGUUUAUUGUCCAACUUGUAAGGAUCUUAAGCAAGGGAAACUACGAGUUCGAUGUCAUUUUUGUAAAAGUGGGGCUUUUACCGUACAUGCUGACCCACAAAAUUGGAUUCACGUUUUGGAACCGAAGCAAAUUACUGGCACUUGUGAAAAUAAUCCUGAAUUAUGCAAGGACAUUCUUCAGAACAAAGAGCCAACCUUUGCAGAAUUUUAUUUUAAAUGCUCUGAACACAUAUCAUUAGGCGAAACAGAUCAGGCUGUUCCAUUGGAUCUGAUUCGUCCAAACUUGAAACAAAUCCAAUGUAUGGCCUGUUUAGACACUUCAGACACUAUAUUUGCCUUUCCAUGUCCAGAUGACCAUGUCAUGUGUUUGGAUUGUUUCAAACAAUAUUGUUUGACUAAGCUAACAGAGAGACAAUUUUGGCAACAUCCAGAAUAUGGAUAUACCCUUGCAUGCCCUACUGGUUGCCCUGAUUCUUUCAUUAAAGAAAUUCAUCAUUUUCGUUUACUGGAUGAUGAGAACUACAAUAGAUAUCAUCAUUUUGCAGCUGAAGAGUUUGUGUUGCAAUCUAACGGCUUGUUAUGUCCUCAACCUGGGUGUGGAAUGGGUAUUUUAGGUAAGAGACGGCAGUAUUUUCCUAAACGACUUCUAAAUCAUAGAGUAACGAGACUAUCGCACCGACAAGCUCUUCAUACAUGCGUUUGCUUCCAUAGAAAAAAACUGAACCCGAGUGUACGCGGAUAUCAUGCCAAAAUUGCAAAUAUGUCUUCUGUCGACACUGUCGUCAAGGUUUUCAUAUAGGAGAAUGCGACGUUGUAGAAAAUAACGACACCGCUGGUCAAAAUUUCAGUUGCGAGUCGGACAUGAAUUAUAACAAUGGAAAUAGUGGCGAAUUAGCUUCUCGAACAACUAUUAAGAUUAUGACUAAGCCUUGUCCAAGUUGUAAAACACCGACAGAACGAGAUGGGGGUUGUAUGCAUAUGAUAUGCACUCGAGCAGGAUGCAAAUUUCACUGGUGUUGGGUAUGUCAAACCGAGUGGACUACGGAAU
This 1737-nucleotide unclassified non-coding RNA is filed under the name Sitophilus oryzae (rice weevil). Its description in RNAcentral is "e3 ubiquitin-protein ligase parkin, transcript variant X1". Lineage: Eukaryota; Metazoa; Arthropoda; Insecta; Coleoptera; Curculionidae. The record is from RNAcentral.